GUGGGGAAUAUUGGACAAUGGGGGGAACCCUGAUCCAGCCAUGCCGCGUGUGUGAAGAAGGCCUUAUGGUUGUAAAGCACUUUAAGCGAGGAGGAGGGUACUGGUAUUAAUACUACCAGGUACUGGACGUUACUCGCAGAAUAAGCACCGGCUAACUCUGUGCCAGCAGCCGCGGUAAUACAGAGGGUGCGAGCGUUAAUCGGAUUUACUGGGCGUAAAGCGUGCGUAGGCGGCUAAUUGAGUCGGAUGUGAAAUCCCCGAGCUUAACUUGGGAAUUGCAUUCGAUACUGGUGAGCUAGAGUAUGGGAGAGGAUGGUAGAAUUCCAGGUGUAGCGGUGAAAUGCGUAGAGAUCUGGAGGAAUACCGAUGGCGAAGGCAGCCAUCUGGCCUAAUACUGACGCUGAGGUACGAAAGCAUGGGGAGCAA
Molecule: ribosomal RNA, 426 nt
Filed under: uncultured Acinetobacter sp.
Lineage: Bacteria; Pseudomonadati; Pseudomonadota; Gammaproteobacteria; Moraxellales; Moraxellaceae
Description: bacterial SSU rRNA
Rfam family: Bacterial small subunit ribosomal RNA
Source: RNAcentral